GGUUAAGUUAGAAAGGGCGCACGGUGGAUGCCUUGGCACUAGGAGCCGAUGAAGGACGGGACGAACACCGAUAUGCUUCGGGGAGCUGUAAGCAAGCUUUGAUCCGGAGAUUUCCGAAUGGGGAAACCCACCACUCGUAAUGGAGUGGUAUCCAUAUCUGAAUACAUAGGAUAUGAGAAGGCAGACCCGGGGAACUGAAACAUCUAAGUACCCGGAGGAAGAGAAAGCAAAUGCGAUUCCCUGAGUAGCGGCGAGCGAAACGGGACCAGCCCAAACCAAGAGGCUUGCCUCUUGGGGUUGUAGGACACUCUGUACGGAGUUACAAAGGAACGAGGUAGAUGAAGAGGUCUGGAAAGGCCCGCCAUAGGAGGUAACAGCCCUGUAGUCAAAACUUCGUUCUCUCCUGAGUGGAUCCUGAGUACGGCGGAACACGUGAAAUUCCGUCGGAAUCCGGGAGGACCAUCUCCCAAGGCUAAAUACUCCCUAGUGACCGAUAGUGAACCAGUACCGUGAGGGAAAGGUGAAAAGCACCCCGGAAGGGGAGUGAAAGAGAUCCUGAAACCGUGUGCCUACAAGUAGUCAGAGCCCGUUAACGGGUGAUGGCGUGCCUUUUGUAGAAUGAACCGGCGAGUUACGAUCCCGUGCAAGGUUAAGCAGAAGAUGCGGAGCCGCAGCGAAAGCGAGUCUGAAUAGGGCGAAUUGAGUACGUGGUCGUAGACCCGAAACCAGGUGAUCUACCCAUGUCCAGGGUGAAGUUCAGGUAACACUGAAUGGAGGCCCGAACCCACGCACGUUGAAAAGUGCGGGGAUGAGGUGUGGGUAGGGGUGAAAUGCCAAUCGAACCUGGAGAUAGCUGGUUCUCUCCGAAAUAGCUUUAGGGCUAGCCUCAAGGUAAGAGUCUCGGAGGUAGAGCACUGAUUGGACUAGGGGCCCCUACCGGGUUACCGAAUUCAGUCAAACUCCGAAUGCCGAUGACUUAUCCUUGGGAGUCAGACUGCGAGUGAUAAGAUCCGUAGUCGAAAGGGAAACAGCCCAGACCGCCAGCUAAGGUCCCAAAGUAUACGUUAAGUGGAAAAGGAUGUGGAGUUGCUUAGACAACCAGGAUGUUGGCUUAGAAGCAGCCACCAUUUAAAGAGUGCGUAAUAGCUCACUGGUCGAGUGACUCUGCGCCGAAAAUGUACCGGGGCUAAACGUAUCACCGAAGCUGCGGACUGUUCUUCGAACAGUGGUAGGAGAGCGUUCUAAGGGCUGUGAAGCAAGACCGGAAGGACUUGUGGAGCGCUUAGAAGUGAGAAUGCCGGUAUGAGUAGCGAAAGAGGGGUGAGAAUCCCCUCCACCGAAUGCCUAAGGUUUCCUGAGGAAGGCUCGUCCGCUCAGGGUUAGUCGGGACCUAAGCCGAGGCCGAAAGGCGUAGGCGAUGGAUAACAGGUUGAUAUUCCUGUACCACCUCCUCACCAUUUGAGCAAUGGGGGGACGCAGGAGGAUAGGGUAAGCGCGGUAUUGGAUAUCCGCGUCCAAGCAGUUAGGCUGGGAAAUAGGCAAAUCCGUUUCCCGUGAAGGCUGAGCUGUGAUGGCGAGCGAAUUAUAGUAGCGAAGUUCCUGAUUCCACACUGCCAAGAAAAGCCUCUAGCGAGGUGAGAGGUGCCCGUACCGCAAACCGACACAGGUAGGCGAGGAGAGAAUCCUAAGGUGAUCGAGAGAACUCUCGUUAAGGAACUCGGCAAAAUGACCCCGUAACUUCGGGAGAAGGGGUGCUCUGUUAGGGUGAAAGCCCGAGAGAGCCGCAGUGAAUAGGCCCAGGCGACUGUUUAGCAAAAACACAGGUCUCUGCGAAGCCGUAAGGCGAAGUAUAGGGGCUGACGCCUGCCCGGUGCUGGAAGGUUAAGAGGAGCGCUUAGCGUAAGCGAAGGUGCGAAUUGAAGCCCCAGUAAACGGCGGCCGUAACUAUAACGGUCCUAAGGUAGCGAAAUUCCUUGUCGGGUAAGUUCCGACCCGCACGAAAGGCGCAACGAUCUGGGCACUGUCUCAACGAGAGACUCGGUGAAAUUAUAGUACCUGUGAAGAUGCAGGUUACCCGCGACAGGACGGAAAGACCCCGUGGAGCUUUACUGCAGCCUGAUAUUGAAUGUUGGUACAGCUUGUACAGGAUAGGUAGGAGCCUUGGAAACCGGAGCGCCAGCUUCGGUGGAGGCAUCGGUGGGAUACUACCCUGGCUGUAUUGACCUUCUAACCCGCCGCCCUUAUCGGGCGGGGAGACAGUGUCAGGUGGGCAGUUUGACUGGGGCGGUCGCCUCCUAAAAGGUAACGGAGGCGCCCAAAGGUUCCCUCAGAAUGGUUGGAAAUCAUUCGCAGAGUAAAGGCACAAGGGAGCUUGACUGCGAGACCUACAAGUCGAGCAGGGACGAAAGUCGGGCUUAGUGAUCCGGUGGUUCCGCAUGGAAGGGCCAUCGCUCAACGGAUAAAAGCUACCCCGGGGAUAACAGGCUUAUCUCCCCCAAGAGUCCACAUCGACGGGGAGGUUUGGCACCUCGAUGUCGGCUCAUCGCAUCCUGGGGCUGUAGUCGGUCCCAAGGGUUGGGCUGUUCGCCCAUUAAAGCGGUACGCGAGCUGGGUUCAGAACGUCGUGAGACAGUUCGGUCCCUAUCCGUCGCGGGCGCAGGAAAUUUGAGAGGAGCUGUCCUUAGUACGAGAGGACCGGGAUGGACGCACCGCUGGUGUACCAGUUGUUCUGCCAAGGGCAUCGCUGGGUAGCUAUGUGCGGACGGGAUAAGUGCUGAAAGCAUCUAAGCAUGAAGCCCCCCUCAAGAUGAGAUUUCCCAUUCCGCAAGGAAGUAAGAUCCCUGAAAGAUGAUCAGGUUGAUAGGUCUGAGGUGGAAGUGUGGCGACACAUGGAGCUGACAGAUACUAAUCGAUCGAGGACUUAACCAA
RNAcentral lists this ribosomal RNA (2928 nucleotides) under Bacillus velezensis. Its description in RNAcentral is "23S ribosomal RNA". It matches the Rfam family "Bacterial large subunit ribosomal RNA". Lineage: Bacteria; Bacillati; Bacillota; Bacilli; Caryophanales; Bacillaceae. The record is from RNAcentral.